AACUUGCUAUUAAUCUAGCAAGCUAAAUAUUUAGCUAUACAAUAUGUCUACAUGACAGGGAAACGAUAGUCUCUCAUACUUAAAAAACUAAGAUUUAUCUUAAUAAAUGUUUUAUUGUUCCUAGUAUGACAGAAAUACAGCAGCAGUAUCCUACAUUUUGAUUCUUAAGAGUCACAAUUGCUGAUUCAGCAUCAUGUUGCGCCCAGGUUGCAUGUCUUUUCAUCCAGUGAGAACUGUCUGACCACGCUGCAGUGUAGGAUGCAGCGACCCGCUGCAGCACCGUUUGCAGGUCAAAGAAGCCCACGUAAGAAGAGGAACCGUCAGCGGUGGUUAGCUGAGCAGGAGAAAUGAGUCAGAGUGAAGGAAAGCUUUCAGCCGAUGCGGGCAACGACAUCUUGCUGCUUGCAGAGCGUCGCCGCUGACAGUUUGAAGUUCCAGCCACAGAGCUGCUCUGCAGGCCCGGCUGCUGCUGCAAUCCACUGCAGAGAACCUCAGACCAGAACCAGGAAACAUAACCUGGUGAUGGCAUCAAGGUUUAAAAUAUUACAGCUAUUCAGAAACAACCCAGAUUGUUCAAGAUGUUACUCAAAAUGUUAUUUUCUUAAUAUAUUUCUGGACAAAAAUCGUAGUUCUGCCGUGUACGUUCGCUAGAUUUCACACAGAUGAAACCUUGAACUGAGUUUAAUUUGGGUUAUUUAACUAGUCAAAAGAGGAAAAAUAUAUUCGCCUUGUUAUUCAGUCACAUGUAAAUGUCAGUUUCAGACUAAAUAUUUAUUUAACUAGCUAAAUAGUUUGAAGCUAAAUAUGUAUUUAGAUUUAGUUAGGCUGAGCUAAAUAUUUCACUAACAAGCUGAAGAUUGAGCUUCAAAAUAAAUAUUUAGCUAGCGUAGGGCUACAUAUUUAUUUAGCAGUUAUUUAGCUAGUUCAAAGCUAUUUAGUUUAAAGAUAAAUAUUUAGCUGGUAGGCUAUUUGGUUAUCUUAAAGCUAAAUAUUUUGUGUAAAGCUCUAAGGCAAAAGUAUUUAGUUUGAUGCUAAGUAUUUAGCAUCAAACUAAAUAUGUAGCAAGCACAGGGCUAAACAUUUAAUUUGGACCUAAAUAGUUAGUUUUGCACACAAGUUAAAUAUUUGAUUUACUUGAUAUUUAUUUAGCAAACUACAUAUUUAGCUAGCUCAGAGCUCAAUGACUAGCUAGCUAGCAACAUAUUUAGCUUCUUAACUACAUAUCUAGCUUGCAAGCUAAAUAUCUAGCAUCAAACUAGCAUCUCAUGGCAAAACACUUCAUUUUAGCUAAACAGUUAGCUUGCACACUAAAUAGUUAGCUUGGAGCUAAAUAUUUUUGCUAAAUAUUUAGCUGCCUUAUUGCUAAAUAUUUAGUUUGCAAGCUAAAGUAAAUACUUGUCUUGCUACCUUUGAAUAGCUAUAAAAUGACUAAAUCAGCUGCAACAGCUGGAAGAAAUUCUCUAAAUGUCUCUUCAGGUGCAGCAACAAAAGCAGGAAAUGGCAAAGCGGUGAAACGAACCCUGAGGAAGGAGCUGCAAGAUAAACAACCGUCAGAACCUGUAGGACCUGGAGCGGCGGUUCGGCCCGCUCGGCGUGUUUGCGGAUCGGACCGGGCCAGGAAUGUGUCUGCUGCUGCUCUGCGUCUCUUCCUCGCUCCGUGACACGGACAUUUUCCAGCCGCCGCGUUUCCGGGAGCCAAUCAGAGCGCAGCGCCGGACACUGCAGCCGUCUGUCUGUUAUCCCGACCAGAACCGGACUGUCAGGACCAGAUGACCCAGUCAGGCUUCCGUACUGCUGCUCAGGCUCACAGCAGGAACCUGAGAGGGCGAUCAGUGUCUGAUUUCACAACAACGGUUAGAAAAACACAAAUUUACAAACUGCCAGAAACUGGAAUAAAUUCAGGAUCAGCAGAAAACUUCCUGGUAAAACCAGGAUUUAUUUUGUAGGCCGUAAGAAGGAGAAAAGUUUUAUAUGUUACCA
This is a long non-coding RNA of Xiphophorus couchianus (Monterrey platyfish), 1980 nucleotides long. RefSeq lists it as uncharacterized. The transcript has 2 exons. Lineage: Eukaryota; Metazoa; Chordata; Actinopteri; Cyprinodontiformes; Poeciliidae. The record is from RefSeq and is a predicted model, not a curated record.